RNAcentral lists this unclassified non-coding RNA (300 nucleotides) under uncultured fungus. RNAcentral's name for it is "sequence contains 5.8S rRNA gene, ITS2". The stretch from base 1 to 71 matches the Rfam family "5.8S ribosomal RNA", at positions 84 to 154 of the family's 154-position model. Lineage: Eukaryota; Fungi. The record is from RNAcentral.
GUGAGUCAUCGAAUCUUUGAACGCACAUUGCGCCCGCCGGUAUCCCGGCGGGCAUACCUGUCCGAGCGUCGUUACAACGCCCAGGUCUCUAUCUGGUGUUGGGGCACCGGUUAUUACUUGUAAAUAAUCGCGCCCUGGAAGCUAGUUGGCGGUCUACGUACAGCCCAAGCGAAGUAGUUUUUUUUCACUGCCUAGUAACGCUUAGGGGAUAAUUUGUAUGCUUGACCUGCUAAUUAAACCAGUUUUACUGAAAAGUCGACCUCGGAUCAGGUAGGAAUACCCGCUGAACUUAAGCAUAUC